RNAcentral lists this ribosomal RNA (504 nucleotides) under uncultured bacterium. Its description in RNAcentral is "bacterial SSU rRNA". It matches the Rfam family "Bacterial small subunit ribosomal RNA", at positions 108 to 607 of the family's 1533-position model. The record is from RNAcentral.
AAAUGGAAGUCUGGGAAACUGCCUGAUGGAGGGGGAUAACUAUUGGAAACGGUAGCUAAUACCGCAUAACGUCGCAAGACCAAAGAGGGGGACCUUCGGGCCUCUUGCCAUCAGAUGUGCCCAGAUGGGAUUAGCUAGUAGGUGGGGUAAUGGCUCACCUAGGCGACGAUCCCUAGCUGGUCUGAGAGGAUGACCAGCCACACUGGAACUGAGACACGGUCCAGACUCCUACGGGAGGCAGCAGUGGGGAAUAUUGCACAAUGGGCGCAAGCCUGAUGCAGCCAUGCCGCGUGUGUGAAGAAGGCCUUCGGGUUGUAAAGCACUUUCAGCGAGGAGGAAGGUGGUGAGCUUAAUACGCUCAUCAAUUGACGUUACUCGCAGAAGAAGCACCGGCUAACUCCGUGCCAGCAGCCGCGGUAAUACGGAGGGUGCAAGCGUUAAUCGGAAUUACUGGGCGUAAAGCGCACGCAGGCGGUUUGUUAAGUCAGAUGUGAAAUCCCCGGG